This 477-nucleotide ribosomal RNA is filed under the name uncultured organism. RNAcentral describes it as "partial 16S ribosomal RNA". It matches the Rfam family "Bacterial small subunit ribosomal RNA", at positions 332 to 800 of the family's 1533-position model. The record is from RNAcentral.
UACACUCCUGCGGGAGGCAGCAGUGGGGAAUUUUGGACAAUGGGCGAAAGCCUGAUCCAGCAAUGCCGCGUGCAGGAUGAAGGCCUUCGGGUUGUAAACUGCUUUUGUACGGAACGAAAAAGCUCCUUCUAAUACAGGGGGCCCAUGACGGUACCGUAAGAAUAAGCACCGGCUAACUACGUGCCAGCAGCCGCGGUAAUACGUAGGGUGCGAGCGUUAAUCGGAAUUACUGGGCGUAAAGCGUGCGCAGGCGGUUAUGUAAGACAGAUGUGAAAUCCCCGGGCUCAACCUGGGAACUGCAUUUGUGACUGCAUGGCUAGAGUACGGUAGAGGGGGAUGGAAUUCCGCGUGUAGCAGUGAAAUGCGUAGAUAUGCGGAGGAACACCGAUGGCGAAGGCAAUCCCCUGGACCUGUACUGACGCUCAUGCACGAAAGCGUGGGGAGCAAACAGGAUUAGAUACCCUUGUAGUCCCAUGA